Molecule: ribosomal RNA, 253 nt
Filed under: uncultured bacterium
Lineage: Bacteria
Description: partial 16S ribosomal RNA
Rfam family: Bacterial small subunit ribosomal RNA
Source: RNAcentral
UACGUAGGGUGCGAGCGUUAAUCGGAAUUACUGGGCGUAAAGCGCACGUAGGUGGCGACGUAAGUCGGGUGUGAAAGCCCCGGGCUCAACCUGGGAAUUGCAUUCGAGACUGCAUUGCUGGAGUACGGAAGAGGAAGGCGGAAUUCCCGGUGUAGCGGUGAAAUGCGUAGAUAUCGGGAGGAACAUCAGUGGCGAAGGCGGCCUUCUGGUCCAGUACUGACACUCAAGUGCGAAAGCGUGGGGAUCAAACAGG